UACGUAGGGAGCAAGCGUUAUCCGGAUUUAUUGGGUGUAAAGGGUGCGUAGACGGGUUAGCAAGUUAGUAGUGAAAUCCCUCGGCUUAACUGAGGAACUGCUACUAAAACUGUUAAUCUUGAGUGCUGGAGGGGAAAGUGGAAUUCCUAGUGUAGCGGUGAAAUGCGUAGAUAUUAGGAAGAACACCGGUGGCGAAGGCGACUUUCUGGACAGUAACUGACGUUGAGGCACGAAAGUGUGGGGAG
Molecule: ribosomal RNA, 245 nt
Filed under: uncultured Eubacteriales bacterium
Lineage: Bacteria; Bacillati; Bacillota; Clostridia; Eubacteriales
Description: uncultured Clostridiales bacterium partial 16S ribosomal RNA
Rfam family: Bacterial small subunit ribosomal RNA
Source: RNAcentral